CCUACGUGAGGCAGCAGUGAGGAAUAUUGGUCAAUGGGAGAGCUCCUGAACCAGCCAAGCCGCGUGAGGGAAGACGGCCCUAUGGAUUGUAAACCUCUUUUGUCGGGGCGCAAAAGACGCCACGCGUGGCGUUCCGAGAGUCCCCGAAGAAAAAGCAUCGGCUAACUCCGUGCCAGCCGCCGCGGUAAUACGGAGGCUGCGAGCGUUAUUCGGAUUUAUUGGGUUUAAGGGGUGCGCAGGCGGAAGAUAAAGUCAGCGGUAAAAUUGAGGGGCUAAACCUCUUCGGGCCGUUGAAACUGGUAUUCUUGAGUGAGUGAGAGGGAUGCGGAAUGCGGGGUGGAGCGGGGAAAUGCAUAGAUAUCACGAAGAACUCCGAUUGCGAAGGCAGCAUACCGGCGCUCAACUGACGCUCAUGCACGAAAGUGUGGGUAUCGAACAGGAUUAGAUACCCCGGUAGUC
Molecule: ribosomal RNA, 459 nt
Filed under: uncultured bacterium
Lineage: Bacteria
Description: partial 16S ribosomal RNA
Rfam family: Bacterial small subunit ribosomal RNA
Source: RNAcentral